Molecule: long non-coding RNA, 266 nt
Filed under: Lathyrus oleraceus (garden pea)
Lineage: Eukaryota; Viridiplantae; Streptophyta; Magnoliopsida; Fabales; Fabaceae
Description: Pisum sativum (pea) long non-coding RNA (PSAT_LNC007851)
Source: RNAcentral
UAACAAACAGUAACCAAAUGAGACUUUCUCAAAUCUCAUUCGGUUACCAAAAUCUCAAUCGAUAGACAUUAUCGAUUCAACAAACAGUAACCAAAUGUGAUUUUCCCAAAUCCCAUUUGGUUAUCGAUGGUAAUAACAAUAUGUAAUCAAAAAGAGGCAAAUCAAACAUUUCACAACAAACAUGGGGUAAGAAUACACUUAUAAGUAAUAACGGUGAAAUUUAGCAACAUGAUGAUAAAUGAAUACAACAGCAAGGUUAAUAGACA